GAAGACCUAAUUUAAGCCCCACAUCGUCCCAUAUGCAUGUGAACGUGUUCCCAUCAAAUUGCCCGUUCACUCAAGCAAAUCCAAGUCAUGCUCAUUAUUUCACUUGAUUUUUGGACUACCCUACAGUUUUGACGCCAUUGAAUUCCUGUCAUUAUGGUGACCCAAAAUCAAAAUCUUUUGUACUCGGAGAUUUUAAUUUUGUUUGAAGGCGAGAUUGCACACGUACGCGACAUUAUUACUGUGAAUUUGUGAUCUACCUCUAGUUAAUUUCUAAUCUGAUGUUUUAUCAUAGAUUAUUUUCAUGUCUCUUGUUGACAUAAGAACACGAAGUUAACAAUAAUAAAAACUAGUAUUAGAAUAUUCCCCCC
RNAcentral lists this long non-coding RNA (368 nucleotides) under Populus trichocarpa (black cottonwood). RNAcentral describes it as "long non-coding RNA (PTRI_LNC003441)". Lineage: Eukaryota; Viridiplantae; Streptophyta; Magnoliopsida; Malpighiales; Salicaceae. The record is from RNAcentral.